Molecule: ribosomal RNA, 253 nt
Filed under: uncultured bacterium
Lineage: Bacteria
Description: partial 16S ribosomal RNA
Rfam family: Bacterial small subunit ribosomal RNA
Source: RNAcentral
UACGUAGGGUCCGAGCGUUGUCCGGAAUCACUGGGCGUAAAGGGUGCGUAGGCGGGUCUUUAAGUCAGAGGUGAAAUCCUGGAGCUCAACUCCAGAACUGCCUUUGAUACUGAGGAUCUUGAGUUCGGGAGAGGUGAGUGGAACUGCGAGUGUAGAGGUGAAAUUCGUAGAUAUUCGCAAGAACACCAGUGGCGAAGGCGGCCAACUGGUCCGGAACUGACGCUGAGGUGCGAAAGCGUGGGGAGCAAACAGG